UCCAGAGGCCUCUCCUCCCCAGGGCAUGCCUCCAGGGCUGGAUGUAUCCACAGUGAGGCACUCUGUGAUCAGCCUCAGUUCAGAGAAGACUACUGUACAGAGGUUAUCAUGCGGUGGUUGGAGUGGAGAUAAAAAGAGAGGUGUUGCAAAACAAGAUGAUGGGAAGAGGGAAACCAAGCAUAUCCAUCGUCUUCAGUGCAGCACUGGGUACGGAUAUUAAAAACAUUCAGCCCUGUGAGAUGAGUUGGAACUCUAUCUUAACUGCACUACACAGCUCGCUGCCACAGAGAACAAACUUUCUGCUCUUUUCAUGACUCACUGGAGUUCAAAGCUGAAUCAGUUUUUCUGGGUUGUACCUCUUUAUUUUUUUGCUUUAAGUAAGAUUUUGACCUAACUAGUCAUGAUUCAACACUAAAGCACCUUGGGAUAUGAUUAUACAUCAUCAGCGGUGUGUUUUGUUGGACCUGUAACCACACCCAACAAUGAUUUCAUGGUGUAGCAGGGUGUACUGGAAAAGAAAUUCAGCCCUUGACUGAUGGCCAGGACACCUCUGUGUACUGACACCACCUGGAGUACACUUUGACAUCACUGCAGCAAGAUGGACUGGUCAGUUGGCUCUGUUGUGGGAUAUUGGAGAUCAAGUGCCCCUUCACAGCCAAAGAUGACACUGGAGGACAAUACAAGAACCAAAGGAAGUAGUGUUACCAUGACUACUACCAUCAAGUGCAGUGUCAGUUGCAUGUCUGCAAUAUGAGACACUGUGACUUCAUAGUUACUGUCCUCAGGAUGUUGUCAUUGACAGCUCCUAGACGGAUAGUGAGUUUUGGGAUCAUGUUGCCAGCGCAACACAUUUUUUUCCAGACAUGUGUUCUGCCAGAGCUGCUGAGGAGAUGGUUCAGGUCCCGUCAUGGCAACACCCACCUGAAGAUAUGACUGUAAAUCCCUCCUGUCCUAAUCUCUGCUUGAAGUGGACUGCAGUUUGAAGAUAUGACUUGGUGCUUUAUUUCAGGUUUAUUUAAGGUCAGGAGGAAGACGGAGUGACUGUCUGGAAGAGAGUGAUGUGUCUCUCUUUCUCUGCAGUCUGUGUUAUUGUGCCAUCCAGUCUCAUUACUUUGAAGCCUCUGUUGCCCAGGAUGCGUUCCACGAUGUCAAGCACCUUCUUGUAAAGAGUGAAGACGAGUGUGCAGUGGCCUUCUUGUCUGAGCUGUUCGAGAAGGGCCAACAGAAAGACAAGUUACUCCACCUCUACAGUAACCAAAAGUUACUGUAGAGGUGCUAUAUUAAAUUUUCCUUUGGUACAAUAUGUAAUUUUUUCUUCAGCUGAUAUUUAUUUACAUUUUGCUACAACAGGUAACUUAAUCACUAGUAAAUAAACCAAUUUUUAUUAGACAAAUAUUUGAUAACAAUUGAUUACAGCUAUUUCUAAAUGUAAGGUUACACAAAAUAUUCACACUUUUAUGGAGUUACUUUUGCGUCUUUAUUAUGCAAUCAAACAGAAUAGGCUUGCAAUGAAAAAACAGAUUUGACACUGCAAUCAAAAAAUG
Long non-coding RNA from Thunnus maccoyii (southern bluefin tuna), 1544 nucleotides. RefSeq lists it as uncharacterized. NCBI's taxonomy places the organism in Eukaryota, Metazoa, Chordata, Actinopteri, Scombriformes, Scombridae. The transcript has 4 exons. The record is from RefSeq and is a predicted model, not a curated record.